Molecule: long non-coding RNA, 244 nt
Filed under: Nicotiana benthamiana
Lineage: Eukaryota; Viridiplantae; Streptophyta; Magnoliopsida; Solanales; Solanaceae
Description: long non-coding RNA (NBEN_LNC002971)
Source: RNAcentral
GGUUUCAUACAACAACAGUCGGGUUCUCACUCAUCAUUAAAGGGUCCCCAUAAGGUUUUUUCUCCUAUGCAUGGAGGAUUGGAGCAAGGGGACCCUUGAUUGCCUUUCUUAUUCAUUAUUGUUCAAGGAAGGAUAAGGCGCAAUGGUAAAGGCAAAACACUUGAACUGGAUUAGUGGAUUUUAAACAGCCAUCAGGCCUCAGGCAACUCCCUCAAUCAUUGACAUCAAGAAAACGAGACCAUUU